This 460-nucleotide ribosomal RNA is filed under the name uncultured bacterium. RNAcentral's name for it is "partial 16S ribosomal RNA". It matches the Rfam family "Bacterial small subunit ribosomal RNA", at positions 338 to 795 of the family's 1533-position model. The record is from RNAcentral.
CCUACGGGCGGCAGCAGUGAGGAAUAUUGGUCAAUGGGCGAGAGCCUGAACCAGCCAAGUCGCGUGAAGGAUGACGGCCCUACGGGUUGUAAACUUCUUUUGGCAGGGAGCUAUUGGGUCCACGCGUGGGCUUAGCACGAGUACCUGAAGAAAAAGCAUCGGCUAACUCCGUGACAGAAGCCGCGGUAAUACGGAGGAUGCGAGCGUAAUCCGGAUUUAUGGGGUUUAAAGGGUGCGUAGGCGGAAUGUCAAGUCAGCGGUAAAAAUUCGGGGCUCAACACCGUCGUGCCGUUGAAACUGAUGUUCUUGAGUGGGCGAGAAGUAGGUGGAAUGCGUGGUGUAGCGGUGAAAUGCAUAGAUAUCACGAAGAACACUCAUUGCGAAGGCAGCCUACCGGCGCCCAACUGACGCUGAAGCACGAAAGCGUGGGUAUCGAACAGGAUUAGAUACCCCAGUAGUC